Molecule: ribosomal RNA, 367 nt
Filed under: uncultured organism
Description: bacterial SSU rRNA
Rfam family: Bacterial small subunit ribosomal RNA
Source: RNAcentral
CGGAGGGUGCUAAGCGUUGUCCGGAUUUAUGGGUUUAAAGGGUGCGUAGCGGCUAAUUAAGUCAGCGGUGAAAUUCCACAGCUCAACUGUGGAACUGCCAUUGAUACUGGUUGGCUUGAGUACAGAUGAGGUAGGCGGAAUUGACAGUGUAGCGGUGAAAUGCUUAGAUAUUGUCAAGGACACCUAUUGCGAAGGCAGCUUACUAAGCUGUAACUGACGCUGAGGCACGAAAGCGUGGGGAUCAAACAGGAUUAGAUACCCUGGUAGUCCACGCCGUAAACGAUGAUUACUCGAUGUGUGCGAUAGACAGUACGCGUCCAAGCGAAAGCGUUAAGUAAUCCACCUGGGGAGUACGCCCGCAAGAGUG